ACAUAACUGAUGCCUCCGCGUAUCGACUUUGUGCGCAUUUUAGCUAUUAUGUGUUCUUUUAAUUAAAAUGAUUCUUUUUAAGAUUCAUCUAUUAAAAAUUUGCUUCGGCAUAAUUUUUUUUGAUGAUCUUGUUACUUUGAGUAAAUUAGAGUGUUCAAAGCAAACAGAUAUAGCAUUUGUGCGUUUGAAUACUACAGCAUGGAAUAACAAAAUUGAACAAGUCAGAAUUUUUUUGUUCUUUUUUCUUAUUUUGGCUUAGUUACGAUUAAUAGGAGUAGCUUGGGGGCAUUUGUAUUCAGAUGUCAGAGGUGAAAUUCUUAGAUUUUCUGGAGACAAACAACUGCGAAAGCAUUUGCCUAAAAUACUUCCAUUAAUCAAGAACGAAAGUUAAGGGAGUGAAGACGAUCAGAUACCGUCGUAAUCUUAACCAUAAACUAUGCCGACUAGGCUUUGGAUGAAAGAUUUUAAAAUAAGAGUUUUUCUUUUCUCUCCGGAGAUUAGAACUCUUAGAUUGCUUCCUUCAGUGCCUUAUGAGAAAUCAAAGUCUUUGGGUUCUGGGGCGAGUAUUCGCGCAAGCGAGAAAGUUAAAAGAAUUGACGGAAGGGCACCACCAGGCGUGGAGCUUGCGGCUUAAUUUGACUCAACACGGGAAAACUCACUAGUUUAAGACAAGAGUAGGAUUGACAGAUUAAUAGCUCUUUCUUGAUUUCUUGGAUGGUGAUGCAUGGCCGUUUUUAGUUCGUGAAUAUGAUUUGUCUGGUUAAUUCCGAUAACGAACGAGAUCUUAACCUGCUAAUUAGCGGCAAAUACGAUAUAUUCUUAUGUAGAAUUGAAUAUAGUGGAUUUGUUGGAUUUUGAAGAAAAUAUUGGAAUUACGUUUAAAUGUGAUUCCUUUCCCUUUUCUACUUAAUUUACAUUUCCAUCUAUUUCUUUUUUGCGUAUGAAUGUAUUUGCUUGAUUGUAAAGCUUCUUAGAGGAACGAUGUGUG
RNAcentral lists this ribosomal RNA (988 nucleotides) under Plasmodium knowlesi. Its description in RNAcentral is "SSU rRNA". It matches the Rfam family "Eukaryotic small subunit ribosomal RNA", at positions 638 to 1428 of the family's 1831-position model. Lineage: Eukaryota; Apicomplexa; Aconoidasida; Haemosporida; Plasmodiidae. The record is from RNAcentral.